UGGCGGCGUGCUUAACACAUGCAAGUCGAACGAUGAACCACUUCGGUGGGGAUUAGUGGCGAACGGGUGAGUAACACGUGGGCAAUCUGCCCUGCACUCUGGGACAAGCCCUGGAAACGGGGUCUAAUACCGGAUACUGACCCGCUUGGGCAUCCAAGCGGUUCGAAAGCUCCGGCGGUGCAGGAUGAGCCCGCGGCCUAUCAGCUUGUUGGUGAGGUAAUGGCUCACCAAGGCGACGACGGGUAGCCGGCCUGAGAGGGCGACCGGCCACACUGGGACUGAGACACGGCCCAGACUCCUACGGGAGGCAGCAGUGGGGAAUAUUGCACAAUGGGCGAAAGCCUGAUGCAGCGACGCCGCGUGAGGGAUGACGGCCUUCGGGUUGUAAACCUCUUUCAGCAGGGAAGAAGCGAAAGUGACGGUACCUGCAGAAGAAGCGCCGGCUAACUACGUGCCAGCAGCCGCGGUAAUACGUAGGGCGCGAGCGUUGUCCGGAAUUAUUGGGCGUAAAGAGCUCGUAGGCGGCUUGUCACGUCGGUUGUGAAAGCCCGGGGCUUAACCCCGGGUCUGCAGUCGAUACGGGCAGGCUAGAGUUCGGUAGGGGAGAUCGGAAUUCCUGGUGUAGCGGUGAAAUGCGCAGAUAUCAGGAGGAACACCGGUGGCGAAGGCGGAUCUCUGGGCCGAUACUGACGCUGAGGAGCGAAAGCGUGGGGAGCGAACAGGAUUAGAUACCCUGGUAGUCCACGCCGUAAACGGUGGGCACUAGGUGUGGGCGACAUUCCACGUCGUCCGUGCCGCAGCUAACGCAUUAAGUGCCCCGCCUGGGGAGUACGGCCGCAAGGCUAAAACUCAAAGGAAUUGAC
This 863-nucleotide ribosomal RNA is filed under the name Streptomyces sp. Sp080513M2-02. Its description in RNAcentral is "bacterial SSU rRNA". It matches the Rfam family "Bacterial small subunit ribosomal RNA", at positions 37 to 914 of the family's 1533-position model. Lineage: Bacteria; Bacillati; Actinomycetota; Actinomycetes; Kitasatosporales; Streptomycetaceae. The record is from RNAcentral.